This is a non-coding RNA of Carassius auratus (goldfish), 406 nucleotides long. The record is from the annotation of a RefSeq genome assembly. Lineage: Eukaryota; Metazoa; Chordata; Actinopteri; Cypriniformes; Cyprinidae.
CCAGAGAACAGAAGAGCAUCAACAGAGCAGAUCUGACUUACUAAACAUGGACAGACACUUGAUACUGAUUUUAAUCAUGACUUUAGGUGCAAAGGCAGCAGACCAGAUUGGGCCAAAUCAGGGUGAAAAAGUCAUCAGUACUGAAGGAGAGUCUGUGAGAUUAAGCUGCUCAUAUGAUACAAGUAGCAGAAAUGUUGGACUUUACUGGUACAGACGGUAUCUUAAUAAAGAACCUCAGUAUUUAAUGUGGAAAGGUGCUCGGAACUGGGGUGGUACUACUGGAACCCCUGCUGAUCGUCGCUUUCAGUCGACUACAUCAGAAAAAUCCACUGAACUCACUAUUACUGGUGUAACUCUGUCAGAUUCAGCUCUCUAUUAUUGUGCUCUAAGAGUUGGAGCCCAGUGA